CCUACGGGGGGCAGCAGUGGGGAAUAUUGCGCAAUGGGGGCAACCCUGACGCAGCAACGCCGCGUGCAGGAAGAAGGUCUUCGGAUUGUAAACUGUUGUCGCAGGGGAAGAAGACAGUGACGGUACCCUGUGAGAAAGUGACGGCUAACUACGUGCCGGCAGCCGCGGUAAUACGUAGGGGGCAAGCGUUAUCCGGAUUUACUGGGUGUAAAGGGUGCGUAGGUGGCAGGGCAAGUCAGAUGUGAAAGCCCGGGGCUCAACCCCGGUACUGCAUUUGAAACUGUCCAGCUGGAGUGCAGGAGAGG
RNAcentral lists this ribosomal RNA (305 nucleotides) under uncultured bacterium. RNAcentral's name for it is "bacterial SSU rRNA". It matches the Rfam family "Bacterial small subunit ribosomal RNA", at positions 338 to 657 of the family's 1533-position model. The record is from RNAcentral.